UUACAUUCACAAAAUGAUGAUUACUUGGUUUGAACUUUAGGCCAAUCCACUUACCAUGUUGGCGGGACAAUUACAUUUAGUCAUGUGAUUAGCUAGAUGUCCAUUAGCUGGCCAUUAAUUUUGACUUAUAGCCUACCCAAUGAGUAGAUUGGCCCAAUUUCUAUAACAAGUUUCAUGGUAUGUGACUCACCUUUUGCAUGUAUUGAAUAUUUUGCAAAUGCAACUCUGGUGGGAAAAAAUGCAGAAUGUGAAAGUUCAUAUACAGUUGCUGUAUGUGAUGAUUUUGCGAACGCAACUCUGCCAUCCAAUCAUGUGCAAGGAAAAUCUAUGUAUUAAGUGCAACCUGCCUGAUGGACCAUGAAUUAUAAUCACCAGACCAAAUUUAACAUGUUAGUCACUUGUAUGCAUAUGCAACUAGAUUGUCAUGUGUACAGUGCGCAUAUAGAUGAACAUGUGGAUAAAAUACAUGCAUGCUUGUCGGUGCUUCCUGGUGAAAGGGUUGAAGGCCUGAUUUCUCCUACAGGGAACCGACAUCUCUACAAGGGCGAAUAAUUUAAAAGGUGGGGGAAGCUUGUGAGGUGGGCCACAACAUGGAGGAAGCACAUUUACUACAUGCUCAACAAGGAAUUCCAAUAUCGGAAUAUGGGGUAAGUUGUUAUAAUUUCUCUGGUUGGUUUUCUGAACUGCUGGUACCAAUAUAGGAAUAUCAGUUUAAUUCAUAAUAUUGUUUCAUGCAUCAGAAAAAUCAGCACAAGCCUAUAAAUGGGCUGAACCCCAAUUGGAAAUAGUUAAAGUUGAGAGUUAAUUGCUACAGAUUUGCUGUUUCUUUCUUUUACUAAAUAUGCUCGUAUUAUGGUUGUAGUAUAGAUAUUUUUUACUUUAUGAAGAAAUUCAGUGUUGUAGGAUUAGUUUGAAAAGCUUUCAGCAGGGUCUUAGAAUUUGUAGUAUAGAUAUUUUUUACUUUAUUGUGGAUGGAGCACAUACUGGAAAGCACGCUGAUUAGAAA
Molecule: long non-coding RNA, 1006 nt
Organism: Magnolia sinica
Lineage: Eukaryota; Viridiplantae; Streptophyta; Magnoliopsida; Magnoliales; Magnoliaceae
Exons: 3
Source: RefSeq, a predicted model, not a curated record